AAGAACCUUGCGCUUUUGGAGCGGCCGAUGCCUGAUUAGCUAGUUGGUGGGGUAAAAGCCUACCAAGGCAACGAUCAGUAGUUGGUCUGAGAGGACGGCCAGCCACACUGGGACUGAGACACGGCCCAGACUCCUACGGGAGGCAGCAGUGGGGAAUUUUGGACAAUGGGCGCAAGCCUGAUCCAGCAAUGCCGCGUGAGUGAAGAAGGCCUUCGGGUUGUAAAGCUCUUUCAGUCGAGAAGAAAAGAUUGUGACGAAUAAUCACAAUUCAUGACGGUAUCGACAGAAGAAGCACCGGCUAACUACGUGCCAGCAGCCGCGGUAAUACGUAGGGUGCAAGCGUUAAUCGGAAUUACUGGGCGUAAAGGGUGCGCAGGCGGCUUUGUAAGUCAGAUGUGAAAUCCCCGGGCUUAACCUGGGAAUU
RNAcentral lists this ribosomal RNA (424 nucleotides) under uncultured bacterium. RNAcentral describes it as "bacterial SSU rRNA". It matches the Rfam family "Bacterial small subunit ribosomal RNA", at positions 202 to 622 of the family's 1533-position model. The record is from RNAcentral.